CUUUCUGGGCACAAAGGGAGGAACACUCUGGCUGUGGAGCUUCCUCCCCAAGACAGGGGCACUAGGACCCUGAUUCCCUCCGUUUACCGCUGAGUCUGCAUUGCCAAGCAACAGCUUGGGAACGCAGCCUGGGGCGCUUCCCUUCCCUCGGACAGAGCUCUCCUUGCGGUAGGCCUUGGUAGUUUGCAUACAAUGGGGCCCUAAGCCCUCUGCAAGUUGGCCUGGCUCCUAGGUCCAAAGGGCAGGCCAGAGCGGAGCUGAGGCUGUCAGGCUCCAGACACAUCUCCCAUACUCCUACAUCCUGCUCCUACCCGGGCGUGAACGCUAGAAGCUGGGAAGAUGGAAGUAGCUAGGACCUCUGGACUGCAGUCUCUCAUCUCUUGCUGACCUCUUGUUGACCUCUGCAGAAUCCUGGUAGGUGGGAGCUUGUUAGUUCCUUGUUCCUUAUCAGAACCUCCUGUGGUAAGUGUUUUUCUCUUCUCUGUUGCCUGGUAAGGGUGGGUGGUCAUGGGCAUCCCAAAGUUGGCUAGAAGUCAAUUAUUUAGGCAGGCUUGUGCACAGAUAUGGGAGAAGGCAAUGGCACCCCACUCCUGGAAAAUCCCAAGGAUGGAGGAGCCUGGUAGGCUGCAGUCCAUGGGGUGGCUAAGAGUCGGACACCACUGAGUGACUUCAUUUUCACUUUUCACUUUCAUGCAUAGGAGGAGGAAAUGGCAACCCACUCCAGUGUUCUUGCCUAGAGAACCCCAGGGACUGCGGGGCCUGGUGGGCUGCCAUCUAUGGCGUGGCACAGGGUCGGCCUCAACUGAACCACUUAGCAGCUGCAGCAGCAGCAGCAGCAGUGCAUAGAUAUCAAAGGGGAUGAGAACAGUCAGGUAGGAUCACAUAUGUCAUCGUGAAACAAUACUUCUCCUCUUAGCCAAAGCUAACGAAAGAUUUCUGUUCUAGGUCAACCUAGAAGAGAUCACUUAAGAGGUAAAGAAACUUAAACUCCAUUAGCAAAGGCAGUUCAACAUCUCAAGAAAACUUGUGCUAGGCACAAAACUCUUUUCUGGGGGCCUACUUUCCCUACAACCUCCUUAUCCCAUUCUGUACCCAUUCCUUUGCUUCUCCCGUCCUGAAAAUGCCACCUGUAAGACAGAACUACUUCGUUUUCCUUCUUAAAGUGUGAUUGCAUUCCAUACAUUCUUGUAAUAACAAGUCAUACAUUUCCCUUCAGCAACCAAGAACUGACUCUUAUAUUGGCAUUUGAUAGAUUGGUGAGCAUACCUAUCAGUGAUAAUAGCGCCCACCCCGCUUCCUGCAAGAACAGAACAAAACAAAACAAAACAAAAAAAUUGCUUUCUUACAUUUAAUAUGUUCGGAUGGUGCCAGUCACUAUUCAUGCAGAGUCAAAAAUCUCUUUUGUUUCUGUGUAAAAGGGAGGUCCUUUCAAGUCGUGAAUGUUUAAGAAGUUUCAUUUAUUUGGAAGUGACCUAGCUAUUCAAUACACUGUCGUCACUUAGUUUAGCACCAGGAUAGAAACUCAGGUAACCAAAACACCUGGAGGAACGAUUGUAAGUUCAGUUCAGUUCAGUUGCUCAGUCGAGUCUGACUCUUUGUGACCCCGUGGCCUGCAGGACGCCAGGCUUCCGUGUCCAUCACCAACUCCAGGGGCUUGCUCAAACUCAUGUCCAUCGAGUCAGUGAUGCCAUCCAACCAUCUUAUCCUCUGUCAUCCCCUUCUCCUCUGCCUUCAAUCAAGACUAUGAGAGGCAGAUAUUUUAGAGUAUAAUUAUUGUUAAGAGUUUAUCUAAAAGCUCAUAUCACAUUUACAUUUUUACAUUGGUUGUUGCUGUUUCCAGGUACUUUCUUGCUGACAAGCUUGUGACACAUAUAACAAUAGAGCAAUUUUUACCUCAAAAGAAACCUAGGCACUAUGAACAUGUUGUGCUUAAUGUUGUUGACUCUUAGACAUGUCUAUAGUGGAGGAGCAAAACCAAAAA
Long non-coding RNA from Bubalus bubalis (water buffalo), 1981 nucleotides. RefSeq lists it as uncharacterized. Lineage: Eukaryota; Metazoa; Chordata; Mammalia; Artiodactyla; Bovidae. The transcript has 2 exons. The record is from RefSeq and is a predicted model, not a curated record.